GACGAACGCUGGCGGCGUGCUUAACACAUGCAAGUCGAGCGAUGAAGCUCCUUCGGGAGUAGAUUAGCGGCGGACGGGUGAGUAACACGUGGGUAACCUGCCUCAUAGAGGGGAAUAGCCUUUCGAAAGGAAGAUUAAUACCGCAUAAGAUUGUAGCUUCGCAUGAAGCAGCAAUUAAAGGAGUAAUCCGCUAUGAGAUGGACCCGCGUCGCAUUAGCUAGUUGGUGAGGUAACGGCUCACCAAGGCGACGAUGCGUAGUCGACCUGAGAGGGUGAUCGGCCACAUUGGGACUGAGACACGGCCCAGACUCCUACGGGAGGCAGCAGUGGGGAAUAUUGCACAAUGGGGAAACCCUGAUGCAGCAACGCCGCGUGAGUGAUGACGGUCUUCGGAUUGUAAAGCUCUGUCUUCAGGGACGAUAAUGACGGUACCUGAGGAGGAAGCCACGGCUAACUACGUGCCAGCCGCCGCGGUAA
This 477-nucleotide ribosomal RNA is filed under the name uncultured bacterium. Its description in RNAcentral is "partial 16S ribosomal RNA". It matches the Rfam family "Bacterial small subunit ribosomal RNA", at positions 28 to 523 of the family's 1533-position model. The record is from RNAcentral.